RNAcentral lists this ribosomal RNA (497 nucleotides) under uncultured bacterium. Its description in RNAcentral is "partial 16S ribosomal RNA". It matches the Rfam family "Bacterial small subunit ribosomal RNA", at positions 28 to 507 of the family's 1533-position model. The record is from RNAcentral.
GACGAACGCUGGCGGCGUGCCUAAUACAUGCAAGUUGAGCGAUGAAGAUUGGUGCUUGCACCAAUUUGAAGAGCAGCGAACGGGUGAGUAACGCGUGGGGAAUCUGCCUUUGAGCGGGGGACAACAUUUGGAAACGAAUGCUAAUACCGCAUAACAACUUUAAACAUAAGUUUUAAGUUUGAAAGAUGCAAUUGCAUCACUCAAAGAUGAUCCCGCGUUGUAUUAGCUAGUUGGUGAGGUAAAGGCUCACCAAGGCGAUGAUACAUAGCCGACCUGAGAGGGUGAUCGGCCACAUUGGGACUGAGACACGGCCCAAACGCCUACGGGAGGCAGCAGUAGGGGAUCUUCGGCAAUGGACGAAAGUCUGACCGAGCAACGCCGCGUGAGUGAAGAAGGUUUUCGGAUCGUAAAACUCUGUUGGUAGAGAAGAACGUUGGUGAGAGUGGAAAGCUCAUCAAGUGACGGUAACUACUCAGAAAGGGACGGCUAACUACGUG